This 466-nucleotide ribosomal RNA is filed under the name uncultured bacterium. RNAcentral describes it as "partial 16S ribosomal RNA". It matches the Rfam family "Bacterial small subunit ribosomal RNA", at positions 29 to 506 of the family's 1533-position model. The record is from RNAcentral.
ACGAACGCUGGCGGCGUGCUUAACACAUGCAAGUCGAACGGAAAGGCCCUGCUUUUGUGGGGUGCUCGCGUGGCGAACGGGUGAGUAACACGUGAGUAACCUGCCCUUGACUUUGGGAUAACUUCAGGAAACUGGGGCUAAUACCGGAUAGGAGCUCCUGCUGCAUGGUGGGGGUUGGAAAGUUUCGGCGGUUGGGGAUGGACUCGCGGCUUAUCAGCUUGUUGGUGGGGUAGUGGCUUACCAAGGCUUUGACGGGUAGCCGGCCUGAGAGGGGGACCGGCCACAUUGGGACUGAGAUACGGCCCAGACUCCUACGGGAGGCAGCAGUGGGGAAUAUUGCACAAUGGGCGGAAGCCUGAUGCAGCAACGCCGCGUGCGGGAGGACGGCCUUCGGGUUGUAAACCGCUUUCGCCUGUGACGAAGCGUGAGUGACGGUAAUGGGUAAAGAAGCACCGGCUAACUACGU